GAUGAACGCUGGCGGCGUGCCUAAUACAUGCAAGUAGAACGCUGAAGGAAGGAGCUUGCUCUUUCCGUCUGAGUUGCGCACGGGUGAGUAACGCGUAGGUAACCUGCCUGGUAGCGGGGGAUAACUAUUGGAAACGAUAGCUAAUACCGCAUAACAGUAGAUGUUGCAUGACCACUAUUUGAAAUGUGCCAUUGCUCCACUACCAGAUGGACCUGCGUUGUAUUAGCUAGUUGGUGAGGUAACGGCUCACCAAGGCGACGCAACAUAGCCGACCGGAGCGGAUGAGUGGCCACACUGAGACGGAGACACGCCACAGACUCAUACGGGAGGCAGCAGUAGGGAAGCUUCGGCAAGCGACGGAAGUCAGACCGAGAAAGGCCGAGGGAGGGAAGAAGGUUGUCGGAUCGGAAAGCUCUGUUGUAAGAGAAGAAAGAGUGUGAGAGUGGAAAGAUCACACAGUGACGGUAUCUGAACAGAAAGGGACGGCUAACUACGUG
Molecule: ribosomal RNA, 497 nt
Filed under: uncultured bacterium
Lineage: Bacteria
Description: partial 16S ribosomal RNA
Rfam family: Bacterial small subunit ribosomal RNA
Source: RNAcentral